UUCCUCUUGGGUGGAUCUCAAAAGGCGGAUAAAGAUCGUGAAGUGGCCAGCCUUCUCAAGGAUUUUGGUUACGUUGGUGAUGCCAUGUGGUGCAGCUGCCUGUGUUGGGGUUGCUGCUGGAGGUUGUGCCACAACCACUGCUGGUGCCUGCGCUGGGGCUGCAGCUGGUGACUGGGCAAAGGUAUAGGUGCAUUGGAGGAAAAGGAGGAAAAUAAAAAAUGAGAUUGACUGUUGCUUCAUGUUUAUGUUUUUGGGCUAUAUGCUAGAAGUGAUACAAAAAUGUUAAUGUAAAUUGAGCUUGAUCUUAGUUAGAAAAGUGUUUGAUGUGUAAAGAAGGGACAGAGUCAGGUUUUAUAGUUGUUGGCAGAGGAUCAAGCUAGGUGCAAUGUACAAUUUUAGUUAUACAAUUAGGUAGCUAGUAUCUUAUCUUUUUCCGAAAGGUGGAGGGUAUCAAUGGAGAGGCAAGUUCAACAAUGCUGCAACAACUAAUUUUCUUGGAAAUGCAGGGGGAAAAAUAGAUUAUAAAAAGUGGAUUUCAAGUGGGUGUGACAGCAAAUGAAGAUAUCUAUGAUUGUCAAAAUUAUAAUUAUGAAUCAUCACUGGCAGAACAUUUGAGCAUAGACUUCUGAACAUCAAAACAAAUCAUCUGUAAUGACAGAGGAGUUUGACAUGAAAUCUCAACUGAUUCAUCUUUAAUAGCUUUGAUCUAGCUCCUUGAGCUUAAAAGAGUCGCAUCCUUGAAUCCAAGACAGAUUUCGAUAGACUAACUUUCCAAAUUCACACGUCCAGAAAUCAAAUCUCACCCUUACCACCACUUGACAUGACAUGAUCAAGAUAUACUUACCUUAUUAUGUACUUGAUAUGAUGAUUGUGGCAAGCCUUCUUUCAAGGUUUAUGCAAUCUUCGAGUAAGCUGACUUUUUAGGGAAACAAAGAGAGUCCUAAGAUAUCGACGCAGACAUAAACAACAAAAGAAAGACAGCAAUUGCAUAGGAUCACCGCGCAAAUUUCAAAUUUUGUUACCUUCCUAAACUAGAAAACCUGAAAAUAAAAAAAAAUGCAAUAAAAAUAUUAAACAAACUAGAAAAUUUAAAAAUAAAAAUGAGAAAUUACAAAUCUAACCUGAAUAGCACGUUUUGGGUCUAGAUGUCUUCCAGACCUGCUGACCAUUACAUAUAUAGGCCUAUAUAGCAAAAUUUGAGCAUGAUUCAGCUGUGAAAUUGAAGGCUGUAAUUAUGGGUCUUUUUUGUUGAGAAGUUUCAAUAACUGUCAGUCUUUCUGUUAGCUAAACCUGUUAGAGCAGUUAGUUAGUUAAUCCAGCUGGCAGUUAGUUAAGUUAGGUAAAGGUUGUUAGUAUUCAAUUGUUAGCAAAUAAACUGAUUCCUUGAAUCACGGGGCAGCAGUUAUUAGUUACCCUGCAGUGUUGUAAAGGCUAUAUAAAGCCAAAUGAUUGUUCAUUCUAAGCAUGAUAUACAAUUCAGUAUUCAUCAAGUAUUCUUGCAUAUCUGUUUCUAUCAAAUUGGUAUCAGAGCAAAACAAAGGAUGAGAAAGAGAAAGCUGCAGGGAGCGAAAAGAAAGCUGCAGUUGGUUUUGUUCUUUCUUCUUAAACUUUACAAAACAAAGGAGAGCCAAACUGAGAGAUGGCGAAUGACAGCACCAACAAUUUUAUUCAACCAUCCAUACCGCGGUUUGAUGGUCAUUUCGAUCACUGGAGCAUGCUAAUGGAGAAUUUCUUGAGAUCCAAGGAAUUCUGGAUCUUGGUUGAAACUGGCUACACAGAGCCAGAGGAAGGAGCAAGUGUGAUUGAAACACAACGAAAGAAAUUAGAGGAGUUAAAACUCAAAGAUCUGAAAGUAAAGAACUACCUAUUUCAGGCCAUUGACAGAACUAUACUUGAAACUAUUCUGGAGAAGAACACCUCUAAACAAAUUUGGGACUCAAUGAAGAGGAAAUAUGAAGGAAAUGCAAGAGUGAAGCGUUCAAUCCUUCAAACACUAAGGAAGGAGUUUGAAACACUGGAGAUGAAAACAGGUGAGCAUAUCACUGACUACUUUGCAAAGGUUAUGACUGUAGCUAGCAAAAUGAGAACCUAUGGGGAGCAAAUGCGAGAUGUAACGAUUGUGGAAAAGAUUCUUCGAUCUUUGACUGACAGAUUCAAUUGCAUAGUAUGUUCAAUUGAAGAAUCUAAGGACAUUGAUGUUCUCUCAAUUGAUGAGUUACAAAGCUCAUUGAUUGUACAUGAACAAAAAUUUCAGAAACACAGCAUGGAAGAACAAGCUUUGAAGGUGACAUCUGAAGAAAGGUUAUAUGGCAGAGGACAAGGCAGACGACCUUUUAGAGGAGGAGGAAGAGGUAGAGGACGAUAUACCUUUGACAAAACCACUGUGGAAUAUUAUAGAUGUCACAAACUUGGCCAUUUUCAGUAUGAAUGUCCCACAGUGAACAAGGAGGCAAAUUAUGCAGAACUGAGCAAUGAAGAAGAAAUCCUAUUGAUGUCUCAUGUGGAAUUGUAUGACAACAAUCGAGAGGGUGCAUGGUUUUUGGACUCUGGCUGCUCAAACCAUAUGUGUGGAGACAAGAAUAUGUUCUGUGAGUUGAAUGAAGAAUUUAGACAACUGGUAAAGCUUGGAAAUAAUACACGAAUGACAGUCCUUGGGAAGGGAAAAGUCAAGUUGUUCUUGGAUGGUUUGCAGCACAUGGUCACUGAUGUAUUCUAUGUACCUGAACUGAAGAACAAUCUCCUAAGCAUAGGCCAGCUACAAGAAAAGGGUCUGGCAAUCCUUAUCAAAUCAGGAACAUGCAGAAUUUAUCAUCCUGUGAGAGGCCUGAUCAUCCAAACUAGAAUGACAAUCAACAGGAUGUUUGUGCUAAUAGCAAAAGGCUCAAGUCAAAGAUGUUUCUUGUUUCCAUACACAUGCACAAGAUUUGUCACAUUUAUGGCAUUGCAGAUAUGGCAUCUCAGCCCCAAAGGAUUUAGGAACCUUUGGCAUAUUAGAAGGAUGGGGAGAGGGACUACCACAGCUCCCUGCAUCAACGACAGAAUGCACGGGCCUGUAUUACUGGCAAGCAGCACAGAGAAUCAUUCCCAAAAAGGGAGUCAAUGGCGUGCAUCACAAAGAUUAUAGCUCAUCCAUGCAGACAUAUGUGCUCCAAUCACACCAACCUCAAACAGCAAGAAAAGGUAUUUCUUAUGCCUCAUUGAUGACUAUAGCAGGAAGACUUGGGUUUAUUUCCUAGCAGAAAAAUCAGAAGCUCUUCAGCAUUUCCAGUACUUUAAGAAGCUUGUUGAAAAAGAAACUGGACAAUACAUCAAGAGUAUAAGAACAGAUAGAGGUGGUGAAUUCAACUCACUGGAAUUCAAUGAGUUCCGUAAGCAGAAUGGCAUCAAAAGACAGCUGACUACAGCCUACACUCCUCAGCAGAAUGGAGUGGCUGAGAGGAAGAAUAGGACAGUGAUGAACUUGGUAAGAUCCAUGCUUUCAGAAAAGAAGAUUCCCAAAAGCUUCUGGGCUGAGGCAGUAAACUGGAGCAUAUAUGUCUUGAACAGAUGCCCUACUAAUGCUGUAAAAGACAUGACUCCAGAAGAAGUGUGGACUGGAAUGAAGCCCUCAGUUGAACACUUUAGAGUGUUUGGAUGUGUAGCUCAUGUGCAUAUACCAAAUGCAAGACGAACCAAACUGGAAAACAAGAGUGUGUGCUGUGUACUGUGUACUGUUGGGAGUAAGUGAAGAAUCAAAGGGCUACAGACUGUAUGACCCUGCAACAAAGAAAAUUGUAACUAGCAGGGACAUAAUAUUUGAAGAAGAGAAACACUGGGACUGGGAUAUCUAUUACAAAGAGGAGUUACAAAUGAACUUAGAAUGGGGAGAAGAAGGUGAAACUGAUGGAGAUGAAGCAAACAUCAGUGAAGAUGCAGAGGCAAUUGAGCAUAAUAUUGCAGACUCAGGUGCAGAGUCAAAUUAGGAUGGCAUUGAAGGAUCCAACAAUACUCCUGCCAACACAAUAUAUGAAGAAGGUGUCAAUCUGCACACAAGGAGGGAUACAAUUAUGCCUAGCUGGAUGAGAGACUAUGUCUCUGGUGAAGGACUGUCAGAAGAAGAAACAGAAUUGAAUAUGGAAAUUGUAACUUCUGAUGACCCCGUGAGCUAUGAAGAGGCAGUAAAAAGUUACAAGUGGAGGGAAGCCAUGGAUGCUGAAAUGGAGUCAAUUCAGAAGAAUGAGACAUGGAGUCUAACUGAAUUACCAGCUGGAACUAAGAAGAUUGGGGUGAAAUGGAUAUACAAAACCAAGCUAAAUGAGUCUGGCAAAGUGGAUAAGCUCAAAGCCAGGUUAGUUGCCAAAGGCUAUGCUCAACAACAUGGUGUGGAUUACACAGAGGUAUUUGCUUCGGUGGCAAGAAUGGACACUGUUAGGAUGAUCAUUGCACUAGCUGCUAAGAAAGGUUAGCUCAUCUAUCAAUUAGAUGUUAAGUCGGCUUUCCUGCAUAGGGAAUUAAGUGAGGAUUUAUUUGUAGAACAACCAAAAGGAUAUGAGCAGAAAGGAAAUGAGCAAAAGGUCUACAAAUUACACAAAGCUUUGUAUGGACUAAAACAAGCCCCUCGAGCUUGGUUUAGUCGCAUUGAAGCCUACUUCACUCAUGAAGGGUUUCAGAAGUGCAUCAGUGAACAAACUCUGUUUGUUAAACAGACUAGUGGAGGCAGAAUCCUUAUCGUGAGUGUUUAUGUAGAUGAUUUGAUUUACACUGGAGAUGAUGAGCAGAUGAUGCUGGAAUUCAAACAGUCUAUGAUGAAGGUAUUUGACAUGACUGAUCUAGGAAGAAUGAGGUUCUUCUUAGGUAUAGAAGUACUGCAACAGACCAAUGGAAUCUAUAUCUGUCAACGAAAGUAUAUACUAGAGGUUCUGAAACGGUUUGGAAUGGAAGAAUGUAAUGCAGUAAUGAAUCCCAUAGUCCCUGGCUUCAAAACUGACAAAAUUGGAGAAGGAAACAAAAUCGAUGAGACUUACUAUAAACAAAUAGUUGGAAGUCUUAUGUAUAUCACUGCUACAAGGCCAGAUAUCAUGUUUGGGGUGAGUUUUAUAAGCAGGUUUAUGGCUAGUCCAACAGAAGUGCAUCUACAAGCUGCAAAAAGAUUAUUAAGAUACUUGAAGGGGACCAUCAAUUAUGGUAUAUUCUACAAGAAGAAUGAGAACAAGCAGCUGAUUGCAUACACUGAUAGUGACUAUGCAGGAGACAUUACAGACAGAAAGAGCACAUCCGGCUAUGUCUUCAUGCUGAGUGGAGGAGCAGUUUCAUGGGCAUCAAAUAAGCAGCCUAUAGUCACUCAGUCAACAACUGAAGCAGAAUUCGUGGCAGCAGCAGCUUGUGCUUGCCAGGCAGUAUGGAUGAGAAGGAUUCUGGAGAAGUUAAAUCAUGAACAAAAAGAUUGCACCAUCUUAAUGUGUGAUAACAGUUCAACCAUCAAGCUCUCAAGAAAUCCCAUUAUGCAUGGACGCAGCAAGCACAUUGAUGUGAGAUUCCAUUUCUUACGUGAUUUAACUCGAGACAAGAUCAUUGAACUUGUGCAUUGUGGCUCACAAGAUCAAGUAGCCGACCUACUGACAAAACCAGUCUGUGUGAUGCUUGAUGUAAACUAAUUGUUACACAGAAUUAGUUUAAAGGAGAGAAUGUUGAGAAGUUUCAAUAACUGUCAGUUUUUCUGUUAGCUAAACCUGUUAGAGCAGUUAGUUAGUUAAUCCAGCUGGCAGUUAGUUAAGUCAGGUAAAGGUUGUUAGUAUUCAAUUGUUAGCAAAUAAACUGAUUCCUUGAAUCACGGGGCAGCAGUUAUUAGUUACCCUACAGUGUUGUAAAGGUUAUAUAAAGCCAAAUGAUUGUUCAUUCUAAGCAUGAUAUACAAUUCAGUAUUCAUCAAGUAUUCUUGCAUAUCUGUUUCUAUCAUUUUUGUCAAGUCGAUCACUCUGCCCAUCCCAAAUAUUGUUUUGGGCUUUGUUCUUUACCAUCAGUCCAUAGACAUUCCUUCAAGACUAUCCACGCGGCCCAGUUGUGGUAGGCCCAACUGAUCAGAACCACCUGCUUUAAAUCUGUGAGGGGAAUGGCUGAUUUUGGAGUGUUGUUUGAAGCUACUGGCUAUAGAAAAUUGACUACUCAGAUAGUGAUUGGGCUGUUUCAGUCGAUGAUAUGAAGAGCACAACAGGUUGUGUUCGAUAUCGGUUCAGGUGCACUUUCUUCGGUGACCAAGAAGCAAGAACCGUGGCACAAUCCACUGGAGAAGCAGAGUGUAUAAAUUCAGCAGCAACUUUGAAUCUAGCCAUAUGGUUAAGGAAACUUCUCCAAGAUAUGGGGCAGCAACAGCAUGUAGCAACUAGAAUUCAAGUUGAUAACAAGUCGGCCAUUGCAAUUGCAAUAGCAAAAUAUUCAGUUAGUCAAGGAAAAACCAAGCAUAUCAAAAUGAAGUUCCAGAGCUCAUGAAGUAGAGAAAGCUAAUGCGGUGACCUUUAGCUGUUGUUACGCAGAAAAGCAACUUGCAGAUAUAUUGCAGCGAGAGCUUCCACAAAUAUACAUCCUUACCUUCACUGCAAGCAUCUGCAUGUAAUAACAAACUUUUAUGAAAAGUUGUAAUUAGGAAGAAUAGAAGAAGCCUAUCCAGAAAAUACAAGUCGCGAAAGACACUAACAUGAAGCAAGUUGAAACUAGAAUUAUUAUCCAACACUUGCACAAGGAACCAUCUGCAUAUACUAAUAAGACGAGCUUACCAGUUAUAUUUGUUUCCUGAGUCCUGACAGGUAAUAUAGCAAGGAAAUUCUUUUUGCACCAGAAGUUUGCAAGCCCAAAGUAGGAGAUAAUAUAGCAGUCUAGUAAAGGUUCUGUUUCAGAAGCCUUGUUUUUUGACAGUUAGCAUUUUCUUCUCUUUUGAAUAAUUGAAUUGUCAAUUGUCUUCUAACCUUAUAGCUUAAAGAAAACUACAUUUCGGUUCGAAACAUACUUGUGUGAAUUCCAAAAUCACAAUGAAACAUACUUGUAUAAAUUAAUGUGUAGCUCUAACUUAUCACUAGCUUCAAAACGUCAAUACUGCAAGAUGAAGGAAAAACACAGAUGGGUUGCAUUAAUCCUGCUGUGCAGCACACUAAGGCGCUGCGAAUGAGCAAGUGACCUCACACACCAGCCCCCAAUGCUCUUUUAUGUCCAGGAAUGGAAUGUUUGCUUAAAUCAAACCCGAUAAGUCCUUGAAAUGCUACCUACCUACCUUAAAUGGAAUCAUCUCUUGCAACCCAAGAUCUGGUCAAGUAACCCCACGUGAAGCAGUGCUGACAGUAAAGGAACUAAGCUUUAGCCCCUUUAGCUUUACAGAACCAAACUCUUACUUUCUUCAUUCCCUACAAAUUUCAACAGAUAAGCUCUCAAAAGACGUACCCAGAAAUCAUCUACAAAGUCAUCCUAUUGAUGAAGAAAGCAAAGGAAACAAUGACCUCAGAGACUGGAGCCUCAUGGAGGCAAUGGUCUUAUUUAACCAAAAGCUAGGGAAUAAGCACAUGGCGCCAAGGUGAUAGGAAAUGAAAUGAAAAAAACAAGAUUGACUACUUAUAUGUAUGUAUGUGUGUGUGUGUGUGUGUGUAUUCCAAUUUGACCAAGAAAUUAAUCAACAGCUCAGAAUUCAACCUUGAUCACAAACUCAAAUCAUACAAACUGGAUUCAAGGUAAAAUCAGAAUUAUUCAACACACAAUCAGCCGGCGCAGCAAAUUAAAUAAAGCACCAAACCGGACACAACCCCCUACAUAUCAUAUCAAGAUUCGAAAUCCUUCUACAUUACAGAGAAAACAUUGCAGAAGCAAGUAACCCAACUGAUCCCACCAAAAGAUUAUGAGUAAAGAUAAGUGCACUAGAUAUAUCCACAGAAGCUGCAGGACUCUCUACAGUUACUGCAGGAACUGCCUUCGUUGGCUUCUCUGGUGCAGCUGCCACUGGUGCUGGAGCUGGAGCAUUAGAAGCAAAAAUGUCCUUAGGGAGGAGUACCUUUUCAAUCUUAUAAAUGGCUAGCUGGUUGUCUGUGUAUACGGUGCCAGAUAAACUUGUAUUGGUAAGUCCUGUGGUUAUGUUCACCGAGUUUGGAUAACUUGUCACGUUAAGUGGUAACCUACUACCUGUUCCGGCCCAUGUUCCGAGAGGAUUGCUUACGGUCUGGAACUGGGAAGUAGAUAGGAAUGUUGGAACUACGUGAAACUUCACUAACUCGGACUUGUCUCCAUCACUUAGCGUGUUGAGAGUUCCUGAUUUGAGUUCCGAAAAUGCGCUAUCCGUUGGUGCAAAGAUGGUUAAACCAGUGCUUGAGUCAUUUAGCGCGGAGAAUAAGUGGUUUUCCUCUUGGGUGGAUCUCAAAAGGCGGAUAAAGAUCGUGAAGUGUCCAGCCUUCUCAAGGAUUAUGGUGACGUUGGUGAUGCCAUGCGGUGCAGCUGCCUGUGUUGGGGUUGCAGCUGGAGGUGAUGCAACCACUGCUGGCGCCUGAGCCGGGGCUGCAGCUGGUGACUGGGCAAAGGUAUUGGUACAAUGGAGGAAAAGAAGUAAAAUUGAAAAUGAAGAGAGUAAGUACUGUGGCUUCAUCUUUAUGUUGUUAAGAUAAAAUGCUAGGAACAAUGCAAAAAUGCUAAUGUAAACUGAGCUUGAUUUUUGUUAGAAGUGCUCGAUGUGUAUAGAGGGGACAGUUUGAGGUUAUAUAGUUGUGGGCAGAGAGGAUCAAGUUAGGUGCAAUAUACAAUUUUAGUUACACAACUAGGUUGCAAGUACCUUAUCUUACUCCAAAAGGUGGUGGGCCAUCAAUGGAGAUGGAAAAUUGGCAAUGCUGCAGCAGCUACUUUGCAUGGAAAGUAGGAAGAAAAAGAAACAAGAAUCUAAGAAGUAGAUUUCAAGUGGGUGUGACAGCAAAUGAAGAUGUGCAUUUCCCACUCAUCAAUGGCAGAACAUUUGAGCAUACUUCCACACAUUAUAACAAAAUCAUCUUUAAUGAUAGAAGAUUUGGACAAGGAAUCUCAGCUGACCCCAUCUUUGUAUCCAAAACAGCUAAAGACUUUGCUCCUUGAGCUAAAAAGAAAGAAGCUUUGGAUGUGUUGAGUAACAUUAUAAAACUUUUUUUUUCAGUUUUAUUUUCCUUUUCUAGUUUUAGUUUUUCAAUAAAAAAUCAGAAAACGUGUUUUAUUUGUCAUAAAAUCAUGAAGAUAAAUUUUUCCAUCUAAAAAAUACUUUAAGAUUAUAACUAUUUUUUUAUAAAAUAUAAACCAUAAUUUAUAAUAAGCAUCUUAACAUUUUGUAUUCGUGAUAAUUUAAUGAUGAAAUUAUAAUUUUAUUUCUUUAAAAAAAACUAUCAUGUAAAACUAUAUUGCUAACCUUUAAAAAAUAUUUAUAUUAAAUUUAUAAUAAAAGGUAAAUUUAUGAUACAUUGAUACUAACUAAAUAUAAAAAAAAAAUUAAGUUUUUACAUUGCUUAAAAUGGCUUGGAUAUAAAAUAAAAAAAUAUUAUUCAUAUUUGUUUCAUUUGAAAAAUAAUGAAAAACUUAUAUUAGAAAAUUACAGAGAAUUUUUAAAAUAUGUUUUUCAAUCUCAAUACAAAUUUAAAAAACUAAAAAAUUUAGUUUUCCAUAGGAAGUUACAGUUUUCAUUUUUCUUACUCCAAUUUUUUUAUUAAAAAAAUAUUAUUUUGUUUCUAAACAAUUUUUUACAUCCUUUUAAUCCUCAAGAGAAAUUGAUAGGCUAACUUUCCAAAUUUAGAAACAUAAAUUAGAUCUCACACCAGGCCAUCACUUAACAUAAUCAAGAAACACUUUCUAACGUACGUGAGCCAAGUACAGGCCAUGUUGCUGCUUACAAUGAUUUUUUCCUUAUGCAAACACCAGCCUAGAAAUUUUAUAUGACCAUUUUGAAGUAAAACGAAAGAAGAUGCCUGCUCUCUCUCACACUUUUUUCCGCUAAUUAUCAACACGAACAGUUUUGAAACUAGAGAAGAAACCUGAGUCUGAUUUGGGCUUGAACUCGAGAAAGAUUCGUAUAGCAAAGAAAUUACUUAGCAAGAUUGAGGAGGAAAAGAGAAUCAAAUUAAUCCCACAAAAUAGUAUAGCAAGACGCUUGGCAUGAGCAGGUGACCUAAGAACUGGUCUGCAAUGCUUAAUAUAGUUUUCUUGUCCAAGACUGAAAUAUUUGCUCCAAUGAAACCUGACAAGUCCUUGAAGUUGGAAAUAAUACCUCCUCACCUUAAAUUGAAUAAUUAAUCUCUAGUGAGUCAAGAUUUGGAGAAGUAAUAUCAGCAGGCAAUGCAUUCUUGUGAGUGAAGGAAAUUAGAUUUAGCACUCGUUAAGCUUUAACGAACAAUAUUUUAUGGUUUUCAUUCCCUACAACCUUCAAGAGAUAUGAUCUCCAAAUUCACAUCCAGAAAUCAAGUCACCCUCAAAGUCAUCUGGUAGAAGGCAAUGUUCAACGAACACUGACCUCGGACUUAAGCCCCAAGAAGGCAUUGCUCAUGCUAUAUUUUAUACCAAAAAUAACAGUUAAGCCUCAAAAAUUUAACACGUCCAAUUCUGAGCAUAAAGAAAGACAGGUCGCCCAGGAACCGGAGAGAAAUCGAAGUGAAUUUCUUGUACAUUAAUGUACUUAAUGGCAUUAGCAAUCCACUCGAGAUGUUCGAAGAUGGAGAUAAAAUUUGCUAGGAGAAGAGGAAGGUGAGCGAUGGAGGAGGGUUCGGAAGGUGCAGCAAGAGAAGCAGGAGUGGUCAUCUUAGCAUUAAUAGAGACUUAUAGACAGGAAUUCGGGUUCACCAGUAGCUAGUUAGAAAAGAUCAAGCAUGGUCAUGUCUCUAAAUAAAAUGUAAAGAUACCAAAAUCACACCUAAUAAUUUCGAAAGUGGAAGGCUUAAGAGCAUCAAGGUUGAUCUUCUAAGAAAUCAAUUUUAAGUGAAUUAUAAUGUAGAAACUGCAAGUUCUCAAACAAGUGUAGCAUGAAAUACUAGGGGGAUUUUUUAGAUAUGGAAAAUUUUUCCAGCAAGUAUGAAUGUAUGCUUAAUAGAGAAAUCAAAGAUAAUCAUUGUUCAAGGGUAGGAAUUGAUGCUUCCUCCAAUGCUCAUAAUCAAAGAAUUCUUGAUCCGCCAAUCAAACCACCAUUAUCUAGCCAAAAGCUAGGAAAUGAUAGAUGACACCAGGAUGAUAGUGAAAAAAAAAUGAAAUUUGAUGAAUAAUCAAGUUAAUUAGAUAGAAUCUCAAAACUCAACUCAAUCAUGAACUCAAAUCAUACAAACUGGAUUCAAGGUAAAAGCAGAAUUAUUCAACACACAAUCGGCCGGCGCAGUUAAAUAAAGCACCAAACCGGACACAACCCUACGUACAUAUAUCAUAUCAAGAUUGAAAUCCUUCUACAUUACAGAGAAAACAUUGCAGAAGCAAGUAAACCAAAUGAUCCCACCAGAAUAUUAUUAGUAAAGAUAAGUGCACUAGAUAUAUCCACAGAAGCUGCAGGACUCUCUACAGUUACUGCAGGAACUGCCUUUGAUGGCUUUUCUGGUGCAGGUGCCACUGGUGCUGGAGCUGGAGCAUUAGAAGUAAAAAUGUCCUUAGGGAGGAGUACCUUUUCAAUCUUAUAAAUGGCUAGCUGGUUGUCUGUGUAUACGGUUCCAGAUAAACUUGUAUUGGUAAGUCCUGUGGUUAUGUUCACCGAGUUUGGAUAACUUGUGACAUUAAGCGGUAACCUACUACCUGUUCCGGCCCAUGUUCCGAGAGGAUUGCUUACGGUCUGGAACUGGGAAGUAGAUAGGAAUGUUGGAACUACGUGAAACUUCACUAACUCAGACUUGUCUCCAUCCCUUAGAGUGUUGAGAGUUCCUGAUUUGAGUUCCGAAAAUGCGCUAUCCGUUGGUGCAAAGAUGGUUAAACCAGUGCUUGAAUCAUUUAGUGCGGAGAACAAGUGGCUUUCCUCUUGAGUGGAUCUCAAAAGACGGAUAAAGAUCGUGAAGUGGCCAGCCUUCUCGAGGAUUUUCGUGACGUUGGUGAUGCCAUGCGGUGCAGCUGCCUGAGUUGGGGUUGCAGCUGGAGGUGGUGCUACGACUACUGCCGGUGCCUGCGCUGGGGCUGCAGCUGGUAUCUGGGCAAAGGUACUGGCACAAUGGAGGAAUAAAAGGAAUAUUGAAAAUGAGGAGAUUAACUGCUGCUUCAUCUUUAUGUUUUUGGGAUUAAUUAUAAU
This 12208-nucleotide long non-coding RNA is filed under the name Populus trichocarpa (black cottonwood). RNAcentral describes it as "long non-coding RNA (PTRI_LNC004278)". Lineage: Eukaryota; Viridiplantae; Streptophyta; Magnoliopsida; Malpighiales; Salicaceae. The record is from RNAcentral.